GGGGUUUACAACUCCCAAACCCCUGUGAACAUACCACUUGUUGCCUCGGCGGAUCAGCCCGCUCCCGGUAAAACGGGACGGCCCGCCAGAGGACCCCUAAACUCUGUUUCUAUAUGUAACUUCUGAGUAAAACCAUAAAUAAAUCAAAACUUUCAACAACGGAUCUCUUGGUUCUGGCAUCGAUGAAGAACGCAGCAAAAUGCGAUAAGUAAUGUGAAUUGCAGAAUUCAGUGAAUCAUCGAAUCUUUGAACGCACAUUGCGCCCGCCAGUAUUCUGGCGGGCAUGCCUGUUCGAGCGUCAUUUCAACCCUCAAGCACAGCUUGGUGUUGGGACUCGCGUUAAUUCGCGUUCCCCAAAUUGAUUGGCGGUCACGUCGAGCUUCCAUAGCGUAGUAGUAAAACCCUCGUUACUGGUAAUCGUCGCGGCCACGCCGUUAAACCCCAACUUCUGAAUGUUGACCUCGGAUCAGGUAGAAAGCCCCG
Molecule: ribosomal RNA, 483 nt
Filed under: Fusarium oxysporum
Lineage: Eukaryota; Fungi; Ascomycota; Sordariomycetes; Hypocreales; Nectriaceae
Description: eukaryotic LSU rRNA
Rfam family: 5.8S ribosomal RNA (bases 148-301)
Source: RNAcentral